GCUGUAUUCUUAGGAGUCUGUAGGACACUCAUGCUCAUCAAAGAAUAAGCUGUGGUGGUUUUUUUGUAAGUCAUCAGCAUCCUCACCAAGGGGAAGAACUUGUUCAUAUUGAUGGUUGCACCUCACUUGAGGUUCUUCUUAUAUGCUUGCUAACGUGCACCUUGAUCUUUCUUCAUCAAUCUUCAGCUCCGUGUCACAUCCAUAUUAAUUAUAUGUGGUGCCUUUUAUAUAUGGUGUACACAACAGAACUGUGAACUUGCAGAGAUUGUCAGACACAAAGUAUGAAACUACUGCAGAAGCAAGCAGAUGAAACAUCAUGAAAUAUUUCUGAACAAUACACAGCUCAAUUCUCUGCCCUUAUUUUGCUUUCUC
Lagopus leucura (white-tailed ptarmigan) is the source of this 372-nucleotide long non-coding RNA. RefSeq lists it as uncharacterized. The record is from RefSeq and is a predicted model, not a curated record. The transcript has 3 exons. NCBI's taxonomy places the organism in Eukaryota, Metazoa, Chordata, Aves, Galliformes, Phasianidae.